Molecule: ribosomal RNA, 338 nt
Filed under: Seri obscuripennis
Lineage: Eukaryota; Metazoa; Arthropoda; Insecta; Diptera; Platypezidae
Description: partial 16S ribosomal RNA
Source: RNAcentral
GAAUGGUUGGACGAAAUACUAACUGUUUCAUUUAAAUUUAUUAUAGAACUUUAUUUUUUAGUCAAAAAGCUAAAAUUUAAUUAAAAGACGAGAAGACCCUAUAAAUCUUUAUAUUUGCGACGUUAUAAUUAAAAAGAUUAAUUUAAUUAUGAUUUUUGUAAAUAUUUUAUUGGGGUGAUAUUAAAAUUUAAAAAACUUUUAAUUUUUAAAAACCAUUAAUUUAUGAAUAAUUGAUCCAUUAAUAAUGAUUAAAAAUUUAAGUUACUUUAGGGAUAACAGCGUAAUUUUUUUGGAGAGUUCAUAUUGAUAAAAAAGAUUGCGACCUCGAUGUUGGAUUA